GCCAGGAAGAGGAAGAAAAGAGUGCAUAAGAGUAGUGUGAAUGAGAACAUCCAAGGAAAGACCAUCAGCUGGCUGAUUCCCUCCUGUAAAGGUGGAGAUUCGGGGUGUGGUGCUUCCUGAUGCCUCUCGUUCCUAUUGUUCUUGCGCGCUCAUUCCUUUUCCUUGUGGUU
Molecule: microRNA precursor, 170 nt
Filed under: Dichanthelium oligosanthes
Lineage: Eukaryota; Viridiplantae; Streptophyta; Magnoliopsida; Poales; Poaceae
Description: MIR2118 microRNA precursor family
Rfam family: MIR2118 microRNA precursor family
Source: Rfam by way of RNAcentral